RNAcentral lists this ribosomal RNA (590 nucleotides) under Paraburkholderia caledonica. RNAcentral describes it as "bacterial SSU rRNA". It matches the Rfam family "Bacterial small subunit ribosomal RNA", at positions 67 to 649 of the family's 1533-position model. Lineage: Bacteria; Pseudomonadati; Pseudomonadota; Betaproteobacteria; Burkholderiales; Burkholderiaceae. The record is from RNAcentral.
CGGCAGCACGGAGAGCAAUCCUGGUGGCGAGUGGCGAACGGGUGAGUAAUACAUCGGAACGUGUCCUGUAGUGGGGGAUAGCCCGGCGAAAGCCGGAUUAAUACCGCAUACGAUCUGCGGAUGAAAGCGGGGGCUCCUUCGGGACCUCGCGCUACAGGGGCGGCCGAUGGCAGAUUAGCUAGUUGGUGGGGUAAAGGCCUACCAAGGCGACGAUCUGUAGCUGGUCUGAGAGGACGACCAGCCACACUGGGACUGAGACACGGCCCAGACUCCUACGGGAGGCAGCAGUGGGGAAUUUUGGACAAUGGGCGCAAGCCUGAUCCAGCAAUGCCGCGUGUGUGAAGAAGGCCUUCGGGUUGUAAAGCACUUUUGUCCGGAAAGAAAACCUCUGGGUUAAUACCCCGGGGGGAUGACGGUACCGGAAGAAUAAGCACCGGCUAACUACGUGCCAGCAGCCGCGGUAAUACGUAGGGUGCAAGCGUUAAUCGGAAUUACUGGGCGUAAAGCGUGCGCAGGCGGUUCGCUAAGACAGAUGUGAAAUCCCCGGGCUUAACCUGGGAACUGCAUUUGUGACUGGCGGGCUAGAGUAU